GAUGAACGCUGGCGGCGUGCUUAACACAUGCAAGUCGAACGAAACACCUUAUUUGAUUUUCUUCGGAACUGAAGAUCUGGUGAUUGAGUGGCGGACGGGUGAGUAACGCGUGGGUAACCUGCCCUGUACAGGGGGAUAACAGUCAGAAAUUACUGCUAAUACCGCAUAAGACCACAGCACCGCAUGGCGCAGGGGUAAAAACUCGGGUGGUACAGGAUGGACCGGCGUCUGAUUCGCUGGUUGGUGCGGUAACGGCGCACCAAGGGGACGAUCAUUAGCCUGGUAGUGAGAGUCAGUCGCCACAUCGGGAGUGAGCCACGGCCGAAACUCCUGCGGGAGGCAGCAGAGGGGAAUACUGCAAAAUGGGGGAUAUGCUGAUGCAGCGCGGAUGGUUGAGCACAGUAGGAUGGCAGUAAGUACAGCAAUAUCAGCAGUUGAUAAAUUGACGUUACCAGACUAAGAAGCCCCGGCUAACUACGUG
RNAcentral lists this ribosomal RNA (481 nucleotides) under uncultured bacterium. RNAcentral's name for it is "partial 16S ribosomal RNA". It matches the Rfam family "Bacterial small subunit ribosomal RNA", at positions 28 to 507 of the family's 1533-position model. The record is from RNAcentral.